RNAcentral lists this ribosomal RNA (519 nucleotides) under uncultured bacterium. Its description in RNAcentral is "bacterial SSU rRNA". It matches the Rfam family "Bacterial small subunit ribosomal RNA", at positions 8 to 518 of the family's 1533-position model. The record is from RNAcentral.
AGAGUUUGAUCCUGGCUUAGGAUGAACGCUAGCUACAGGCUUAACACAUGCAAGUCGAGGGGCAUCAUGGAGUUGCUUGCAAACUCUGAUGGCGACCGGCGCACGGUGAGUAACGCGUAUCCAACCUCCCUAUAGUAGAGGAUAGCCCGGCGAAAGUCGGAUUAAUACUCUAUGUUUUCCGUUGCAGACAUCUAAGAUGGAACAAAGGCUUGCCGCUAUAGGAUGGGGAUGCGUCUGAUUAGGUAGUCGGCGGGGUAACGGCCCACCGAGCCAUCGAUCAGUAGGGGUUCUGAGAGGAAGGUCCCCCACAUUGGAACUGAGACACGGUCCAAACUCCUACGGGAGGCAGCAGUGAGGAAUAUUGGUCAAUGGGCGAGAGCCUGAACCAGCCAAGUAGCCGUGCAGGACGACGGCCCUAUGGGUUGUAAACUGCUUUUAUGCGGGGAUAAAGUUCACUACGUGUAGUGUUUUGUAGGUACCGCAUGAAUAAGGACCGGCUAAUUCCGUGCCAGCAGCCGC